Nematostella vectensis (starlet sea anemone) is the source of this 152-nucleotide long non-coding RNA. RefSeq lists it as uncharacterized. The record is from RefSeq and is a predicted model, not a curated record. Lineage: Eukaryota; Metazoa; Cnidaria; Anthozoa; Actiniaria; Edwardsiidae. The transcript is spliced from 2 exons.
CGAUCUAAUGAAAACGAUAAACGUUAAGCGCUACUUCCAAAAAGGCUGAAGUCGUGAAGGAAUUUACUGGAGCGAAAACAUGGGUCAUGCUAAAUUAUGAGAAGAGCAAAAAGAGCUUUGCACAAUUAAACGAUAUUAUUGACCACUAUACA